This 747-nucleotide long non-coding RNA is filed under the name Medicago truncatula (barrel medic). RNAcentral describes it as "long non-coding RNA (MTRU_LNC002944)". Lineage: Eukaryota; Viridiplantae; Streptophyta; Magnoliopsida; Fabales; Fabaceae. The record is from RNAcentral.
UUUUCCAAUUCUCACAUGUGUCGUCGUGCUAGAUUCAUGCUCAACCGUAGUGAGCUCUCGGCAGUCAUGUUUUGUAAGUUGUGACUAAAACAAACAAUCUCUUCAUUUUAAGAAUUUUACCCUUCUCCCUUUGUUCAUUCUCAUCCCAAACUUUCAAAAUUAACAUCAAUACAAAUAACUUAUGUUUGAUAUUCAAGGUGAGUUAACUUGCGCUGAUAGUCAACGGCAGUUAACUAUCGUUGCAAUCAUUUUCUAUAUUUAGACCAACACUAGUAGAUCACACUUUAAACGCACAUUUCUUUCUCUCUUCACCUCCAAUAACUCAAAAAGUGCUAAAAUUUGGUGGAAAAGCUUAGUCUCAUGAAAAAGGUUAGGAAGCAAAUUUUUACACGCAUCAAACGUCAAAAACAGGUAAUGCAUCAUCUAACCUCUUUACAUUCUGCCAUUUUUUUUUCUCCUAGCUAUGUCAGUUUAGAACUCUAGACGUAGCGGAUGUUAAAUUCUGCUAAGGUGCCAGCGUGAGUUAACUUCCGCUGAGGGCCAGCGUGAGUUAACUUAUGUUCGGGGUGCAAGUUUGAAUUUUGGCGGUUUUUUUUUUCUUCCCUUAGGCUUAUGAAACAUAAGUUAUCUAUAAUCUUUUUCUUUGUCAUUUUUUAUUCGUUUACAUAGCGGUGGUUGAAAUACGGUGGAUGAUGGUGUUGAACCCAAAUCGCACGUCAUUGAAGUUUCUGUUGAUGUCAAACCUUU